This 232-nucleotide ribosomal RNA is filed under the name uncultured bacterium. RNAcentral describes it as "partial 16S ribosomal RNA". It matches the Rfam family "Bacterial small subunit ribosomal RNA", at positions 118 to 350 of the family's 1533-position model. The record is from RNAcentral.
UGGGCAACCUGCCCCUCUCUCUGGGAUAACCCCCGGGAAACCGGAGCUAAUACCGGAUACUCCGGCUGGAUCGCAUGGUCCGGCCGGGAAAGGUCCGCCGGAGAGGGAUGGCCCGCGGCCUAUCAGCUUGUUGGUGGGGUCAUGGCUCACCAAGGCGACGACGGGUAGCUGGUCUGAGAGGACGACCAGCCACACUGGAACUGAGAUACGGUCCAGACUCCUACGGGAGGCA